Molecule: ribosomal RNA, 337 nt
Filed under: uncultured eukaryote
Lineage: Eukaryota
Description: bacterial SSU rRNA
Rfam family: Eukaryotic small subunit ribosomal RNA
Source: RNAcentral
CAAUAGCGUAUAUUAAAGUUGUUGCAAGUUAAAAAGCUCGUAGUUGAACUUCUGUCUGUAUGUCGUCCCUACAAGGAAUCGAUAAGACGGACAUCCCCGACUGACGGUUUACAGAGCUUAAGUGUUCUUAUAACCUGAACCGGAUUUUACUUUGAAAAAAUUAAGAGUAGUUUCAAGCAGGCGAUUUGCUGGAAUACAUUAGCAUGGAAUAAUAGAAGAUGACCACCACGCAUUUUAUUGGUAAUAUUGUCGGGAGGUAAUGAUUAACAGGGACAUUGGGGGGCAUUAGUAUUUAAUUGUCAGAGGUGAAAUUCAUUGAUUAAUUAAAGACUAACUU